This 549-nucleotide ribosomal RNA is filed under the name uncultured bacterium. RNAcentral describes it as "bacterial SSU rRNA". It matches the Rfam family "Bacterial small subunit ribosomal RNA", at positions 339 to 906 of the family's 1533-position model. The record is from RNAcentral.
CUACGGGAGGCAGCAGUGGGGAAUCUUAGACAAUGGGGGCAACCCUGAUCUAGCCAUGCCGCGUGAGUGAUGAAGGCCUUAGGGUCGUAAAGCUCUUUCGCCUGUGAUGAUAAUGACAGUAGCAGGUAAAGAAACCCCGGCUAACUCCGUGCCAGCAGCCGCGGUAAUACGGAGGGGGUUAGCGUUGUUCGGAAUUACUGGGCGUAAAGCGCGCGUAGGCGGAUUAGAAAGUUGGGGGUGAAAUCCCGGGGCUCAACCCCGGAACUGCCUCCAAAACUGCUAGUCUAGAGUUCGAGAGAGGUGAGUGGAAUUCCGAGUGUAGAGGUGAAAUUCGUAGAUAUUCGGAGGAACACCAGUGGCGAAGGCGGCUCACUGGCUCGAUACUGACGCUGAGGUGCGAAAGUGUGGGGAGCAAACAGGAUUAGAUACCCUGGUAGUCCACACCGUAAACGAUGAAUGCCAGUCGUCGGGUAGUAUACUAUUCGGUGACACACCUAACGGAUUAAGCAUUCCGCCUGGGGAGUACGGUCGCAAGAUUAAAACUCAAAU